AUUGAACGCUGGCGGCAUGCUUUACACAUGCAAGUCGAACGGCAGCGCGGGCUUCGGCCUGGCGGCGAGUGGCGAACGGGUGAGUAAUACAUCGGAACGUGCCCAGCAGUGGGGGAUAGCUCGGCGAAAGCCGGAUUAAUACCGCAUACGACCUGAGGGUGAAAGCGGGGGAUCUUCGGACCUCGCGCUAUUGGAGCGGCCGAUGGCAGAUUAGCUAGUUGGUGGGGUAAAGGCCUACCAAGGCGACGAUCUGUAGCUGGUCUGAGAGGACGACCAGCCACACUGGGACUGAGACACGGCCCAGACUCCUACGGGAGGCAGCAGUGGGGAAUUUUGGACAAUGGGCGAAAGCCUGAUCCAGCAAUGCCGCGUGUGUGAUGAAGGCCUUCGGGUUGUAAAGCACUUUUGGCGGGAACGAAAAGGACUGUGCCAAUACCACGGUUCGAUGA
RNAcentral lists this ribosomal RNA (449 nucleotides) under Lautropia mirabilis. Its description in RNAcentral is "bacterial SSU rRNA". It matches the Rfam family "Bacterial small subunit ribosomal RNA", at positions 29 to 472 of the family's 1533-position model. The record is from RNAcentral. Lineage: Bacteria; Pseudomonadati; Pseudomonadota; Betaproteobacteria; Burkholderiales; Burkholderiaceae.